Molecule: transfer RNA, 73 nt
Filed under: Mus musculus (house mouse)
Lineage: Eukaryota; Metazoa; Chordata; Mammalia; Rodentia; Muridae
Also listed under: 1 other name
Rfam family: tRNA
About the family: Transfer RNA (tRNA) molecules are approximately 80 nucleotides in length. Their secondary structure includes four short double-helical elements and three loops (D, anti-codon, and T loops).
Source: Rfam by way of RNAcentral
GGUGAAGUAGCUCAGCAGUUAAAAGCACUGACUUCUCAUCUAGAGGCCCUGAGUUCAAUUCCCAGCAACCCCA